RNAcentral lists this long non-coding RNA (416 nucleotides) under Homo sapiens (human). Its description in RNAcentral is "non-protein coding lnc-TBC1D26-1:4". The record is from RNAcentral. Lineage: Eukaryota; Metazoa; Chordata; Mammalia; Primates; Hominidae.
AUGUUCUCGUGUUGCUUCCCCACUUCGAGAGGUUGCUGCUUCAGGAAUGGAGGGAGUGAGAGCCUUUUCCGACAAUGCCGAAGAAGGCUCAUCCCUCACCCCAGACGCCUGUGGCCCUUUGUAAGAAGGCGCACCCAGCUCCUGGUCCAUACGCAGACAUAGCAGCACUUGCGGCACCGGCUGUCGAGCCAAAGCCAGCAUGGGAAGAGCCCCCUCCAGAGAGAGCGCUGGAGGUGGAGGGAGCUCCAGCCAAGGACCAGCCCAGCCAGGAGCUGCCUGAAAUCAUGGCACCUACUAGCAUUAAAACAAGGCUGGGAAGAAGAGUUCCAGCAGCUCCUCCUGCUCUCAGACGCAAUCUUCUCCUCCAGGCAUGGAUGUGUGUCUGCAACUGGGCAUCCAGGCUGUUUGCCCCCUAA